RNAcentral lists this ribosomal RNA (482 nucleotides) under uncultured bacterium. RNAcentral's name for it is "bacterial SSU rRNA". It matches the Rfam family "Bacterial small subunit ribosomal RNA", at positions 30 to 507 of the family's 1533-position model. The record is from RNAcentral.
AUUGAACGCUGGCGGCAUGCCUUACACAUGCAAGUCGAACGGUAACGGGCCUUCGGGUGCCGACGAGUGGCGAACGGGUGAGUAAUGUAUCGGAACGUACCUUUCAGUCGGGGAUAACGUAGCGAAAGUUACGCUAAUACCGCAUAUUCUGUGAGCAGGAAAGCAGGGGAUCGCAAGACCUUGCGCUGAUUGAGCGGCCGAUAUCAGAUUAGCUAGUUGGUGAGGUAAAGGCUCACCAAGGCGACGAUCUGUAGCGGGUCUGAGAGGAUGAUCCGCCACACUGGAACUGAGACACGGUCCAGACUCCUACGGGAGGCAGCAGUGGGGAAUUUUGGACAAUGGGGGCAACCCUGAUCCAGCCAUGCCGCGUGAGUGAAGAAGGCCUUCGGGUUGUAAAGCUCUUUCGGCCGGGAAGAAAUCGUAUGGGUUAAUACCCUGUGCGGAUGACGGUACCGGCAUAAGAAGCACCGGCUAACUACGUG